UACGUAGGGUGCGAGCGUUGUCCGGAAUUAUUGGGCGUAAAGGGCUCGUAGGCGGUUUGUCGCGUCGGGAGUGAAAACCCAGGGCUUAACUCUGGGCUUGCUUUCGAUACGGGCAGACUAGAGGUAUGCAGGGGAGAACGGAAUUCCUGGUGUAGCGGUGAAAUGCGCAGAUAUCAGGAGGAACACCGGUGGCGAAGGCGGUACUCUGGGCAUUACCUGACGCUGAGGAGCGAAAGUGUGGGGAGCGAACAGG
Molecule: ribosomal RNA, 253 nt
Filed under: uncultured bacterium
Lineage: Bacteria
Description: partial 16S ribosomal RNA
Rfam family: Bacterial small subunit ribosomal RNA
Source: RNAcentral